RNAcentral lists this ribosomal RNA (250 nucleotides) under uncultured bacterium. RNAcentral describes it as "partial 16S ribosomal RNA". The record is from RNAcentral.
GACGAACGCUGGCGGCGUGCUUAACACAUGCAAGUCGAGCGAGAGCCAGUCGAGGGGUAACCCUCGUCUGGGGACAGCGGCGAACGGGUGCGUAACACGUGGGCAACCUGCCCCUCGACACUGGGAGUAACCCCGGGAAACCCGGGAACGGCUAAUAACCGGACGUACUCUCGGCCGGACUCACAUGGCGUGGCCGGACGGAAAGGUACCGGCCCGGUCCGAGGGAGUGGGCCCGGCCGGCCGUACUCAG